This 467-nucleotide ribosomal RNA is filed under the name uncultured bacterium. RNAcentral describes it as "partial 16S ribosomal RNA". It matches the Rfam family "Bacterial small subunit ribosomal RNA", at positions 29 to 507 of the family's 1533-position model. The record is from RNAcentral.
ACGAACGCUGGCGGCGUGCUUAACACAUGCAAGUCGAACGGAAAGGCCCUGCUUUUGUGGGGUGCUCGAGUGGCGAACGGGUGAGUAACACGUGAGUAACCUGCCCUUGACUUUGGGAUAACUUCAGGAAACUGGGGCUAAUACCGGAUAGGAGCUCCUGCUGCAUGGUGGGGGUUGGAAAGUUUCGGCGGUUGGGGAUGGACUCGCGGCUUAUCAGCUUGUUGGUGGGGUAGUGGCUUACCAAGGCUUUGACGGGUAGCCGGCCUGAGAGGGUGACCGGCGACAUUGGGACUGAGAUACGGCGCAGACUCCUACGGGAGGCAGCAGUGGGGAAUAUUGCACAAUGGGCGGAAGCCUGAUGCAGCAACGCCGCGUGCGGGAUGACGGCCUUCGGGUUGUAAACCGCUUUCGGCUGUGACGAAGCGUGAGUGACGGUAAUGGGUAAAGAAGCACCGGCUAACUACGUG